GUACUUUCUCUGCCUGGGAGAGGCAGGCUGUGGAAGGGUGCCAUGCCUCAUAUCAAGGGCAAAAGUAGCAUCAAUGGUUUCCUUACAGUCCUCAGGAAAACCAAACCAGGAGACAGAAGAAUUGUCCUAGACCUGAGCAGGUGCUCUUCAGUAGAGUGAGGCUUUGCUGUAGGUACAGGCAAAGUAAGCAGGUCCUUGAGGUAGCAAAUGGUCUCUGGAGAAACUGUGAUUCUGCUGUUUUAUUCUGCCUGUGCUGCUGUCUGACUCUGCCCCAUGUCCUGGGGGUCAGGCUUGAACUGGGGAGAUUAUACUUCCUAAACUGCUGAAGACCAACUCUUCACAACUGAUCACAAUCUCAACUUACAGGACUCAAAGUCAGCAACUCUUCCAUAUUCCCAUACCUGCCAACUCAACUGUGGAUGAUUUGGAGGCAGUGUGAACUCAUUUCAUUUUGAGUAGAAAUCAUCAAUACUACUGAGGACCUUAGUCGGAAAUAGCCAGACAAGACUGUAGUAUCCAGACAAAAGUAUAUGUGAGUUCCAGCACUGCUGCAGGAAGGAUGACUCAAGGAGGGGUAUCGGGGUUUCUUUGAGUGAUGGGUGGUGAUUAUUGUCAUGUUCCGUCCU
Molecule: long non-coding RNA, 626 nt
Organism: Gymnogyps californianus (California condor)
Lineage: Eukaryota; Metazoa; Chordata; Aves; Accipitriformes; Cathartidae
Exons: 4
Source: RefSeq, a predicted model, not a curated record